RNAcentral lists this ribosomal RNA (495 nucleotides) under uncultured bacterium. RNAcentral describes it as "partial 16S ribosomal RNA". It matches the Rfam family "Bacterial small subunit ribosomal RNA", at positions 28 to 507 of the family's 1533-position model. The record is from RNAcentral.
GAUGAACGCUGGCGGCGUGCCUAAUACAUGCAAGUAGAACGCUGAAGGAGGAGCUUGCUCUUCUGGAUGAGUUGCGAACGGGUGAGUAACGCGUAGGUAACCUGCCUGGUAGCGGGGGAUAACUAUUGGAAACGAUAGCUAAUACCGCAUGACAACAGUUAUUGCAUGAUAACUGUUUAAAAGGGGCAACUGCUCCACUACCAGAUGGACCUGCGUUGUAUUAGCUAGUUGGUGAGGUAACGGCUCACCAAGGCGACGAUACAUAGCCGACCUGAGAGGGUGAUCGGCCACACUGGGACUGAGACACGGCCCAGACUCCUACGGGAGGCAGCAGUAGGGAAUCUUCGGCAAUGGACGGAAGUCUGACCGAGCAACGCCGCGUGAGGGAAGAAGGGUUUCGGAUCGGAAAGCUCUGUUGUAAGAGAAGAACGAGUGUGAGAGUGGAAAGUUCACACUGUGACGGUAUCUUACCAGAAAGGGACGGCUAACUACGUG